AGAGGGCGUGAAACCGUUUAGAAGGAAACGAGAAGCGUCGCGGAUUGCCUUUGAAAUUCAGCUGUUACUGUUGCUUUGUGGCGGUACCGGUGCAUUUUUCAUUGGUGUGCACUGAAUCUUGUGCAGUCGGUGUGAUCGCUUUCCUGACGGGACUCGUCUAGGCGAUGUUUUUCGGGUCUGUUGUUACACUGGCUGUACAUGGUGGCAUUCCUCCGGUUCAGUUUCGGAUGAACUAUCCUGCCUGUCUAUCAUUCGGCUGCAUGCCGUACCUGGGCUGGCUUGGGUUGUGAGUUCGUUCUCUGACUAGAUGCUAUUUCGGUGUCAAUGUCGACUAGCUUCCCGACCCGUCUUGAAACACGGACCAAGGAGUCUAACAUGUCUGCAAGUCAAUGGGUUUGUCAAACCUACGGGCGCAAUAAAAGUGAAGGCUGGUUUGGCUGGCUUACACACGAUCCGUUCCUUUGUGAAUGGUGCAGUGUGGUCCCAUCUUGAAUGCUUGUCAUUGAGGUGGAGACAGAGCAGACAUGUUGGGACCCGAAAGAUGGUGAACUAUGCCUGAACAGGAUGAAGCCAGGGGAAACUCUGGUGGAAGUCCGAAGCGGUUCUGACGUGCAAAUCGA
RNAcentral lists this ribosomal RNA (620 nucleotides) under Desmoscolecidae sp. 754_8-1500_X. RNAcentral's name for it is "eukaryotic LSU rRNA". It matches the Rfam family "Eukaryotic large subunit ribosomal RNA", at positions 392 to 901 of the family's 3401-position model. Lineage: Eukaryota; Metazoa; Nematoda; Chromadorea; Desmoscolecida; Desmoscolecidae. The record is from RNAcentral.